Molecule: ribosomal RNA, 271 nt
Filed under: uncultured archaeon
Lineage: Archaea
Description: partial 16S ribosomal RNA
Rfam family: Archaeal small subunit ribosomal RNA
Source: RNAcentral
CAGCGCCACGAGCGGGAACCGUCUUUAUUUGGCCUAAAGCGUCCGUAGCAGGUCCUGUAAAUCUUUUGUGAAAUCGUUAAGCUCAACUUAACGGCGUGCAGAAGACACUGCAAGACUUGAAACCGGGAGGAGUCAGAGGUAUUCAUGGGGGAGCGGUAAAAUGCUAUAAUCCUUUGAAGACCACCUGUGGCGAAGGCGUCUGACUAGAACGGAUUUGACUGUGAGGGACGAAAGCCAGGGGAGCGAACCGGAUUAGAGACCCGAGUAGUCC